UAAUAAGUGUUUUAUGGCACUUUUAAAUCCAUAUCCACCUUGUGUGCAAUGUCAGUCGACCUUCUUCAUGGAGAUCGACCAAACAUCAACCUUUAUCUUUUAACUCUUUGUCUGAAAAAUAUUAUGAAUAAACAAUUCAAAAUA
RNAcentral lists this unclassified non-coding RNA (144 nucleotides) under soil metagenome. RNAcentral's name for it is "partial internal transcribed spacer 1". The record is from RNAcentral.